This 1143-nucleotide long non-coding RNA is filed under the name Salmo salar (Atlantic salmon). Its description in RNAcentral is "lncRNA (ENSSSAG00000110856.1)". Lineage: Eukaryota; Metazoa; Chordata; Actinopteri; Salmoniformes; Salmonidae. The record is from RNAcentral.
CUUGUUCGUCCCGUACUCAGCCUUGUCUCAGGUUAGUAAGUUGGUGGUUGAAUAUAUCCCUCUAGUGGUGUGGGGGCUGUGCUUUGGCAAGUGGGUGGGGUUAUAUCCUGCCUAUUUGGCCCUGUCUGGGGGUAUCAUCGGAUGGGGCCACAGUGUCUUCCGACCCCUCCUGUCUCAGCCUCCAGUAUUUAUGCUGAAAUAGUUUACGUGUCGGGGGGCUAGGGUCAGUCUGUUAUAUGUGGAGUAUUUAUCUUGUCUUAUCCGGUGUCCUGUGUGAAUUUAAGUAUGCUCCCUCUAAUUCUCUCUCUCUCCCUCUCCAUCCCCUCCCGGAGGACCUGAGCCUGGGACCAUGCCUCAGGACUACCUGGCCUGAUGUCUCUAACUCUGAAUGCUCGGCUAUGAAAAGCCAACUGAUAUUUACUCCUGAGCCUCCUGAGGGGGAAGAAGCGUUGUUGUGCCCUCUUCACGGUGUGUUUGGACCAUGAUAGUUCCUUAGUGAUGUCGACACCGAGGAACUUGAAGCUCUUGACCUGCUCCACUACAGCCUCGUCGGUGUGAAUGGGGGUGUGCUCGGCCAUCCGUUUCCUGUAGUCCACAAUCAGCUCCUUUGUCUUGCUGACGUUGAGGGAGAGGUUGUUGUCCUGACACCACACUGCCAGGUUUCUGACCUCCUCGAUAUAGGCUGUCUCAUCGUCGUCAGUGAUCAGGCCUACCACCAUCGUGUCAUCUGCAUACCUAAUCUCAUUAGCCACUCUGGGUUCAUCCUGUCGUUAUCUGCACAUGGGUUGUCGUCUUAACCCCACCCUGGCUUAGUUUCCCAGAUGCAAGGAUGAUUUAGAGACAAUGAGGAAUUUUUCUAAACUCCUCCUGGCUAUCUCUAUCACACCCACCACAUCUUGUCUAUGUAAUGCAGUCUUUAACUCAUUUGUCAGCUCAAGCCAUCUCUAGUGACCAUAUGCCCAGAUAAGCUGCAGGGAACUAGACUGGAGACCAUAAAAACACAAACACUAACAGGACAGAAAUAUCCUCCUACUUGUUAAGUAUUAAUUGCUAACUAUUAAUCUCAAACAAAUUAGGUAAAUGUGUAAUUUUUCUAUCACAGGUGGCUAGUCAGAGUAGUGCAGAAGGUGUCACAUGCUGAGG